RNAcentral lists this ribosomal RNA (446 nucleotides) under uncultured bacterium. RNAcentral's name for it is "partial 16S ribosomal RNA". It matches the Rfam family "Bacterial small subunit ribosomal RNA", at positions 338 to 795 of the family's 1533-position model. The record is from RNAcentral.
CCUACGGGUGGCAGCAGUCGAGAAUCAUUCACAAUGGGGGAAACCCUGAUGGUGCGACGCCGCGUGGGGGAAUGAAGGCCUUCGGAUUGUAAACCCCUGUCAUGUGGGAGCAAAUUAAAAAGAUAGUACCACAAGAGGAAGAGACGGCUAACUCAGUGCCAGCAGCCGCGGUAAUACAGAGGUCUCAAGCGUUGUUCGGAAUCACUGGGCGUAAAGCGUGCGUAGGCUGUUUCGUAAGUCGUGUGUGAAAGGCGCGGGCUCAACCCGCGGACGGCACCUGAUACUGCGAGACUAGAGUGAUGGAGAGGGAAGCGGAAUUCUCGGUGUAGCAGUGAAAUGCGUAGAUAUCGAGAGGAACACUCGUGGCGAAGGCAGGUUCCUGGACAUUAACUGACGCUGAGGCACGAAGGCCAGGGGAGCGAAAGGGAUUAGAUACCCCUGUAGUC